This 386-nucleotide ribosomal RNA is filed under the name uncultured bacterium. RNAcentral describes it as "bacterial SSU rRNA". It matches the Rfam family "Bacterial small subunit ribosomal RNA", at positions 370 to 772 of the family's 1533-position model. The record is from RNAcentral.
AAUGGGCGAAAGCCUGAUGCAGCAACGCCGCGUGAGGGACGAAGGCCUUCGGGUCGUAAACCUCUUUUCUGGGGAACGAGCAAGGACGGUACCUCAGGAAUAAGUCUCGGCUAACUACGUGCCAGCAGCCGCGGUAAAACGUAGGAGGCGAGCGUUAUCCGGAUUUACUGGGCGUAAAGCGCACGCAGGCGGCUUCGUUAGUCGGAUGUGAGAGCUCCUGGCUUAACUGGGAGAGGCCAUUCGAUACUGCGAGGCUUGAGGUUGGGAGAGGGGUGUGGAAUUCCCGGUGUAGUGGUGGAAUGCGUAGAUAUCGGGAGGAACACCUGUGGCGAAAGCGGCACCCUGGCCCACACCUGACGCUGAGGUGCGAAAGCGUGGGGAGCAAA